CAAACGGCCUUUUUCAAGGCCACCAACAUUUCGAUAAAGAAUUAGU
Molecule: non-coding RNA, 46 nt
Organism: Aedes aegypti (yellow fever mosquito)
Lineage: Eukaryota; Metazoa; Arthropoda; Insecta; Diptera; Culicidae
Source: Rfam